This is a long non-coding RNA of Mus caroli (Ryukyu mouse), 362 nucleotides long. RefSeq lists it as uncharacterized. Lineage: Eukaryota; Metazoa; Chordata; Mammalia; Rodentia; Muridae. The record is from RefSeq and is a predicted model, not a curated record.
AUUAUUCACACUUUGGCCUUCCAUCUUGUUAAGUUUCAUAUGGUUGGUUGACAGGAGCCUAUUAUAAAGGCUAAAGGACUCUGAGAGGCAUUACCCAGCAGCUGACUGAAACAGAUGUAGAUACCCACAACCAAACAUUGGACAGAGAGGGAUACAAUAUCCACAGGAAGACCAACAGAGUCAACUAACCUGGUCCUUUGGCAGAUCUCAGAGAGUGACCCCCAACUGGAGAGCAUUAUACAUGCGCUGGACCAAGGCUCCCGGCACCUAGGACUGCCUGGCUGGCUACAGUGGUAGAAGAUUCACUGACCUUGCAGAGUCUUCAUGUGCCAAGGGACAAAGAGUGGAGCAGAGACUGAAGG